AGAAUCAACGCUGGCGGCGUGCCUAACACAUGCAAGUCGCACGAGAAAGGGUAGCAAUACCUGAGUACAGUGGCGCACGGGUGAGUAACACGUGAAUAAUCUACCUCCGAGUGGGGAAUAACUGAGAGAAAUCUUAGCUAAUACCGCAUAACACUUACGAGUCAAAGCAGCAAUGCGCUUGGAGAGGAGUUCGCGGCCGAUUAGUUAGUUGGCGGGGUAAUGGCCCACCAAGACGAUGAUCGGUAUCCGGCCUGAGAGGGCGCACGGACACACUGGAACUGAAACACGGUCCAGACUCCUACGGGAGGCAGCAGUGGGGAAUUUUGCGCAAUGGGGGAAACCCUGACGCAGCAACGCCGCGUGGAGGAUGAAGCCCCUUGGGGUGUAAACUCCUUCGAUCGGGAAGAUAAUGACGGUACCGAUAUAAGAAGCCCCGGCUAACUUCGUGCCAGCAGCCGC
This 459-nucleotide ribosomal RNA is filed under the name uncultured bacterium. RNAcentral describes it as "SSU rRNA". It matches the Rfam family "Bacterial small subunit ribosomal RNA", at positions 26 to 518 of the family's 1533-position model. The record is from RNAcentral.